ACUCCUCCCUCGACAGCAAACGCGUGGGAGCAAUACGAGUGCGUGCAGCAAGGGCAGCCCCCGCCCAAAUGCGUCUCACCCUGCCAUUUUAUCAUUUUCACACGGUGAAUAAUCACGCGUGGCGAGGACCACUGCUGAGUAGGUUUGCCACUGCAUCACCACGGCCCCAGCGCCACCCACCUGUGUUCGCACUGCCCGAACACACUGUGACACCGGCCGUGAGCCGAACACUGACCAGACACACCCCAGCGGUGCUGGGCGGGGGGGCUUAAAACCUCGGUGGCCCCUUCCAGCCUACAUCCAGUGUGGAUGUUUACUACCAUAAACCUGCUUCAAGACUCAGAGCACCACCACAUAUUCUGAAAAAGAAUAUCUUUACCUGAAUUCACGGUGUUGUUGGGCAGAGAAGGAAAAUAUAACAGAUACAUUCUGAAUGGUAGACUGGGGGAGAGCAAGAGGUCGGGACACAGCUGGGACAGCCAACCACAAAAUGAUCAACAUACUAAUAAAAGCUGAGGAAGCAAAAAAGAGGGUGACAUUCAGGUUUACAGCGUUUGUCUUCCUGAGGAACAGCUGUAUGUGAUGGAGCCUUGCUUUGCUGCAAAUGGAAGAACACCUGCCUUCCAAGGGGAAGUGCUGAGUUGAUUCCUUAUUUUGCCUUGCAUACAUGCACAGCUUGGCUUUACCUAUUAAACUGUCUUUAUCUGAA
Zonotrichia albicollis (white-throated sparrow) is the source of this 709-nucleotide long non-coding RNA. RefSeq lists it as uncharacterized. The record is from RefSeq and is a predicted model, not a curated record. NCBI's taxonomy places the organism in Eukaryota, Metazoa, Chordata, Aves, Passeriformes, Passerellidae.